Molecule: ribosomal RNA, 483 nt
Filed under: uncultured bacterium
Lineage: Bacteria
Description: partial 16S ribosomal RNA
Rfam family: Bacterial small subunit ribosomal RNA
Source: RNAcentral
AUUGAACGCUGGCGGCAGGCCUAACACAUGCAAGUCGAGCGGAUGAAGGGAGCUUGCUCCUGGAUUCAGCGGCGGACGGGUGAGUAAUGCCUAGGAAUCUGCCUGGUAGUGGGGGAUAACGUCCGGAAGCGGGCGCUAAUACCGCAUACGUCCUGAGGGAGAAAGUGGGGGAUCUUCGGACCUCACGCUAUCAGAUGAGCCUAGGUCGGAUUAGCUAGUUGGUGGGGUAAAGGCCUACCAAGGUGACGAUCCGUAACUGGUCUGAGGGGAUGAUCAGUCACACUGGAACUGAGACACGGUCCAGACUCCUACGGGAGGCAGCAGUGGGGAAUAUUGGACAAUGGGCGAAAGCCUGAUCCAGCCAUGCCGCGUGUGUGAAGAAGGUCUUCGGAUUGUAAAGCACUUUAAGUUGGGAGGAAGGGCAGUAAGUUAAUACCUUGCUGUUUUGACGUGACCAACAGAAUAAGCACCGGCGAACUUCGU